This 206-nucleotide ribosomal RNA is filed under the name uncultured bacterium. RNAcentral's name for it is "partial 16S ribosomal RNA". It matches the Rfam family "Bacterial small subunit ribosomal RNA", at positions 568 to 774 of the family's 1533-position model. The record is from RNAcentral.
CACGCAGGCGGUUUGUUAAGUCAGAUGUGAAAUCCCCGGGCUCAACCUGGGAACUGCAUCUGAUACUGGCAAGCUUGAGUCUCGUAGAGGGGGGUAGAAUUCCAGGUGUAGCGGUGAAAUGCGUAGAGAUCUGGAGGAAUACCGGUGGCGAAGGCGGCCCCCUGGACGAAGACUGACGCUCAGGUGCGAAAGCGUGGGAGCAAACA